CGCGGUCUGCCUCCCGCGGCGGGCCGGGUCUCCAGGGAGGACCUGAGUUUUCUUCACCCAUUGAGCGCCCAGAGGCCGGCGGGAGCUCCAGGUUCACCUCCUCCUCCUCCAGGAAAUCCCACUUCCAACUGGAUGUCUGGAUGAACUACUGAAAGCUGCUGAGUGUCCUGCAGCAGGCCAUUUCCAAUCCAGCGGAAGACCUUCUAGAAGAGAUGAUGGUGGGAGAGUGCUGACAUACUAUGUGAAGCUACUAUUUGGAGUUGGACACGAGUGCAUGUGUCCUUGUGCCACAACGGGAAUCUUGACUACAACACAAAUGAAUCCACUCAAAUGUUGGCAAGUGGAGCAGAGUCCCAGAACAGGCACCAAUUUGAUCUUCUACUACUUUGCAGACAUCUCUUCUGCAAACACCAGACAAAUUGAGACAAUGACCUUCCACAGGACCCAAAUCACCUCUUACUGCAGGAAAGAAGAUCCAGUGAGAAAAUUAGUCCACAAAUGGAAUGUAAAUCCAUAAACACUCUUAAGUAACAGAAUAAAUUUAGUAUGA
Molecule: long non-coding RNA, 550 nt
Filed under: Homo sapiens (human)
Lineage: Eukaryota; Metazoa; Chordata; Mammalia; Primates; Hominidae
Description: HSALNT0133162
Source: RNAcentral